RNAcentral lists this ribosomal RNA (404 nucleotides) under Actinomycetes bacterium. RNAcentral's name for it is "Actinobacteria bacterium partial 16S ribosomal RNA". It matches the Rfam family "Bacterial small subunit ribosomal RNA", at positions 355 to 776 of the family's 1533-position model. The record is from RNAcentral. Lineage: Bacteria; Bacillati; Actinomycetota; Actinomycetes.
UGGGGAAUAUUGGACAAUGGGCGCAAGCCUGAUCCAGCCAUGCCGCGUGAGUGAUGAAGGCCCUAGGGUUGUAAAGCUCUUUCACCGGUGAAGAUAAUGACGGUAACCGGAGAAGAAGCCCCGGCUAACUUCGUGCCAGCAGCCGCGGUAAUACGAAGGGGGCUAGCGUUGUUCGGAUUUACUGGGCAUAAAGCGCACGUAGGCGGACUAUUAAGUCAGGGGUGAAAUCCCGGGGCUCAACCCCGGAACUGCCUUUGAUACUGGUAGUCUUGAGUUCGAGAGAGGUGAGUGGAAUUCCGAGUGUAGAGGUGAAAUUCGUAGAUAUUCGGAGGAACACCAGUGGCGAAGGCGGCUCACUGGCUCGAUACUGACGCUGAGGUGCGAAAGCGUGGGGAGCAAACAGG